This is a long non-coding RNA of Oenanthe melanoleuca, 720 nucleotides long. RefSeq lists it as uncharacterized. The record is from RefSeq and is a predicted model, not a curated record. Lineage: Eukaryota; Metazoa; Chordata; Aves; Passeriformes; Muscicapidae. The transcript is spliced from 3 exons.
AGUUACUACUUCGCCUGCCCCACUUUAAUCUGCAGGUUGCUUCCCACAAAUGCACACAGACUGAGGAAAGCUGGAGGCUCUCAAGUGCCCUCAGCAUCCGAAGCGGAGCCGCUUGGCUGGAGGCAGUCCCGCCGCCGCGGGCUCGGGGACAGGCGCUUGGCAGUGGGACAGCACAGCGAGCUCCGCACCGUGCGCGGCUGCUUGGGGGGUGUCAGCAGCCGUGUGCCCGAGUUUUAGGACUGAAGGCAGUCCGGGGGGAGAGCGGGACCUGCGCGGCUCCCAUUCCGAGGUUUGCAAAAGUGCAACCACACACUUUUUACCACUUGUCAGACUAAUUCCACAGCAAAAUCCAAGCAACAAAAGUUUGAUCUGGCCUGUAGCUUCAGAAAAAUCCUGAAAUGCAGUCAACUGAUUUUUAUUUAAAGGUGUGAUUACACAACUCAGGCUGCAUGUAUCACCUAUUUUUGGAAAGGUUUCACAUUAUGGGGACUCACUGGUCCAUCAUAGAUACUAAAUCUCAGCACAGCACUGGCUAGAUACCAGCCUACCAGAGCUUCACUUUACAGCAGCAACAAGUUGAUCUGAAAUUGAAACAAGAAGAUAAAAUAAAGAUAUUCACAAACUCAAUUACAUACAGGAAUGAGUAUGGAAUCUGGGGACUCCCUUUGUAAGAUGCCUACAGCUUUUUGGCUCAGAAGAGCUCUUGGUGUCAAGCACACA